AUUAAGAAAAACUCAUUAAUUUAAAUGGAAAAAACAAACAUUAAAAUAGGUAGUUUAAUUUAAUUCUCAGUAGCAUAAAAGUGUAAAUAAGUUAGAAAACUUAGGGAUAUUUUUUAAUGGGUACUUCACUUUUAAUAAUAGAGAUGAGUUUAGCUAUAAAAAACUACUUACUCAUAGACUGCCUCUCGGUGUAAUUAUUUCGAUUAUCAUUUCAUUCGCUGAGUUUUCCGAUAGUACCAAAGCUGAGAAGUGGGGUCCGUACAAUAAUUAGAGAAGUGUUACAAGCAAUAAAAAAGCAACCCCAAAAGGCUUCCAGCAUGUAUACGGAUUCCUUAAUUCCCAUUAUAUUAACCGGUUCAUAUGUGUUUUACCAUAACAUACUUUGUAUACUUCACUGCAACAACACCAUCUCUCUCACAAGAUUACUAGAAACCCUUUUGGAAGAACCGACCACUCACUCAAAGCUCCAAAACCACUCAGCAUGAAAGGAUCACCGCGAGGUAUGCACACCUCACUGGUCCAUCCGUCCAACCAUAGGAAUCAAAGGUACAACGUAGAUUGUUGCUUCUCCGUAAUAGGUUCUCAUGAGGGCAUCAUCAUUGGUUGGGUCUCUCAAUUCUAGUUUUGCACCUUAUUAUAUUAAUACUUUUACAUAAUUUUCUUUUACAAUUAAUUUUACCAUGUUAAAAAGCUUUACGCCACUACGAAAAAGACAUGUAGAGAGCUAAUCUCUCAAGACCACAAGAAUGUCUCUUCUUCGAGGUACCUUUCUUCGCCUCUCUCUUCUUUUUUACUUUCUCUUUCUUCUUUUUGAUUUUUUUUAAUAUUUUUUGGUUGUUGAGAAAUGGUGGUAGAGACUAUCAGUGCACUUGCUCUCAGAUUCUUUAAAAAUGGUGUAUACAAAUUAUUAGACCUGAGAUGGAUCGGGUAUCCAGGCAAUUUUAAGGUAUCCGGAUCCGGAUCUUUAUCCGGAUCCGGGGUUCUCGGAUAUCCGGGCGUCGGAUAUCUUUCUAAAAAUUGUAAUAUCCGGCGGAUAUCCGGAUUCAGAUCUAGAUCCUUAAAAUAAAUAAAAAGAAUAAUAUUAAUAUACAUACAAUAUUAAUAAUAAUUUUAAAAAAAUUUAAUAAUAUUUUAAAUUAUUUCUAUGUAUAAUAUUACAAAAUUUACAUAAAAUUUAUAUAUACUAUUAUAAAAAUGAAAAUAUAUAAAAUAAAAUUAGUUUUAUAUAUAGAUAUUACUAUUUUUGAAAUAAUUAUUAAUAAAACUUACGGAUCCGGAUAUCCGAACUAAAAAAUCAAGAUAUCCGGAUCCGGUUUUGACGGAUCCAACAUUUUACUAUCAGGAUCCGGAUUUGACCCCUCCGGAUAUCUGGAUUUUUGGAUCGGAUCCGGAUCGGAUCUCGGAUCGAAUCCGGAUCUCGGAUAAAAAUUUCAGGUCUACAAAUUAUGUCACUUCAGAAUCGGGAGUGAUGGGGUGGAAAUAUAUUCUCCACCACAUGCUUUCUUAUCUAAAAGUCAACUAAACUGUUAGUAACUUACAAGAUUCACAUAAAGUAUGCCUUGAAAAAAAAAACAAUACACUCAUUACAAAUUUCCACUUAGACAAACAACUACACGAACAUAAUUUACAGGUGAAACCACUUCCCCCUCCCCUCCUCCCCAACCUAACAUCAGGCUAUCAAGACACACUCUCUCUCUAACAACAUUAACGCAAUAACAAGUUGACAAUAUAGUUCAUAAAAAAAAUAUGACAAGAAGUAUAGCCAAACAUGAGAAGCAAAAUAGGUUUAAGCUGCUCGGACCCAAGUCACCACAAAUCUAAAACCUCAACAAUUAUGCUGUAAAACAACUACACAAGAGAGAUAAAAAAAUUAAACGAACCAAUAUGUAAAUACAUUUAGCAACUAGAUGUAAUAAGAAAUAUAAAACCCCGCACAAAGAGCGGAAAUACUACUAGUAUAACAGUAUAUUAGACUUUUCUCUUGUUUUAGAAAAGCACCACAGCAGUGGAUGCUCCUUCUGUUUCCACGUGUUCUCUUUUUAAACCUUCACUCUCUAUUUGUUUCAACUCUUGACAUCUGUUUUACUUUAUUUUGGUUCAUUUAUUUUUGGCCUAAAUUAUAAUUACUUUAAAGAACUCGUAGCGUCUUCUCUUCGCCGGAGUAAAACUAUCUCCAAUAGUACACAAUAAUUUUUUCUAUAUUUCACUCUAAAAUAGAGUAACUCUAUUAUAGAGUUAGAUUUUUCCCAAUGGUUCACUCUAUAAUAGAGUUAUUCUAUAAUAUAAUAGAAUAUAGUGACCCAAAUUAUAAUUACUUUAGAUAAGUCAUAGCUUUCUCCUUUCGCCGGUGUAAGGAAACAUAUUUUUUGCGACUCCUUUUCAUCUUCUUUGACGACUCCCUUUCAUCUUCUUUGACGAUGUUACACUGCGAAAAUGACAAUCAAUCAAGCUAUCCCACUAUUUUCACUACGUACUCUUUAUUAAUUAUUUAAUUCACCUUUCACCUCCUGCGUUGCAUAAAAAAAUAAAGCGUAUGAGCAACAGAGCGAAAUCUUUUGCCUUUCGAAACCCAGAGUUCGUGUCCAUUAUCACUGAAACCUCUCCACCAUGGCGUCUUCUCAAGUUCACUUUUCGGAGCUGAAGGCUGGCUGCUGCAGAGAAACUGUUCAGGUGAGACUACUUCGAUUUUGGAAGGCCCAUAAUGUGAAAAAGGCGAUGAGAUGAUGGUGAUCGACAUGCUGCUUAUUAAUGUGAAGGCUACGCUCGUCCAAACUUCUAUCAAUGUCCACAAUCUUAACACCUUCAGACACCUGUUAAGAGAAAGCUCGCUAUAUGAUCUGAGUACACGUGCCAGUAACUCUUAAUAUUUCUUCGAUAAUUCCUUACUUUCCAAAAAAUGUAAUUGUCAGGAAUUCCAUCAAUAUUGCUAUACUACUUUUCAUGCAUAGAGGCCGUCUCAAACUUUAUACAGGCUCUGUUCAAAAACGAAAAUAAGACCAUUUUUAAUAAUCUGAAAUAAUUUAGAUUUUUUUACAAAAUAUCAUUAUAAUAGAAAAUAAAUACAUCAAAUUAAUUAUUUUAUAUCUAAAUAACACAAUUUUCUAAUUGUUAAUGUAAAUUAUUGAUCAAAUCAUUGAACUUGAUCAUUUGACAUUUUUCAAUGUAAAUUCAUCGAUCAAAUCAUCAAAUUUGAUCAUUCUUCUAGCCAUUCUUCUAGUUUUUUCAGUUUUUUUUUACGUUUAUUAUAUCCACAAUCAGAAAUUAUAAUUUAUAAAUAUAAUAGAGCAAAUCUGGAUAGUAGUUAGACAAAAAGCUAUAUACUCUUUGAUUAGGCAAGACACUUUUUUUUCUUGUCGACAGAAGUUGUAGGCUAGUUUUUUUUUCUUUGUGUUUGCUAUUUUUUAUUAAAAAAAUGGUGAAUAAAAAUAUAUCUUUUUCUCCCUGUUUAUUCUCACUAAUUGAUAAUUGUUUCUUAAACAUAAUCAAAUUAGAAUACUAACUUUCUAUACCACCAUUGAAUAUUCAAACACACAUCAACAACUAUUUCUUACUUUCCAAAAUAUGUAAUUGAUAUAAAUACUAAUUACUUCCUAAUUUAUUGCAUUUUUAGUUGGUUAUAUAAACAAAAUUAAGAAUUGUAAUUUGUAUAUCUAAAUUUAUAGGGAGGACGAGCUAUUUCCCCAUGGGAAGUAUCAUAUAGUAUCAUAUGUCUCCCAAACUAUGACAUCAUUUCAGAUGUCCCCGGAAUAAAAAUUCUAAACAUAUUUCUCCAUGAAACUCAAUUUGAUAUUGGUUAAGACAAUUUCCCGUAUAAUCACAAAACCAAACAAAAAAAACUCUUAAAUAGAACCGAAACCUAAUUCAGUUAAACCCAAACAAAAAGCGUGACCCGACCAUCAUCCUCUUCCUCACCCCUUUUUCCCCAGAUUUUACCCAGUUUUUUCUUCACCUAAUCCCUAACCAAUCACUUCUUCAUCUACAUAUGUAUUGCUUCCAUUAAUUAAUUUCUUCUUUCUUCUCUCAUUGUUUUGGAUAUGCUUGUUAAUCUCGUCGCUAGCAAUACAGACAUGUUCUUCAAGAGAGAUAAAGAGAUUAGUAUCACCAUUAACCCAAUGGUUUACAAGUUUUGAUUCAACGGCCCCACCACCUCUAUCACCAUUAACACAUUGUUUCUUUAUGUCUUCUCCUUCAGCCCCGUUCUAAAUAAAUAAAAUCUCUUAAUUGGAGAAAACUGUCAUUAGUGUCUCAAGUCAAAUAAUAUUUAGACAAGAACAUCAAUGGAUCAGAGAAGACAAGUCUCACGUAGAAGUAAAAUAAAAAGGAAGAAACUUUGUGGGUUUAUGAUUUUGAUUUCUUGACUACUUCUACUAUGGCUUCAAGCUGGGUUUUCGAAAAUUUCUGAGUUUUUGAAUUCAGCCAUGAUUACAGAUUGAUUAAGGAAUAAGAAGACCAGAAGAAGCGUUGGUUUGUUUUAUUUUUUUAUAGUCACGUUUAAUUUUUGAAUUUGGUUUAGUUUGGUUUAUUAUUAAAAUUUUGAUGGUUUUGGUUUAUCAGUAAAAAUUUUAAACCAAAUAAUUUAAUUUUAUGGGUUCAUGGAUUUGGAACUUUUAAUCUAUGGAGAUAUAAGUAGUAAGCUUAAGUUUCAUGGAAAAAUAGGUUUAGAACUUUUAUUUCGGAGACAUCUAAAAUGAGGUCAUAGUUUGAGAGACAUACACUGGUAUACUAUAUUUUUCGUGGGGAAAUAACUCGUCUUCCCAAAUUUAUAUUUAUUGGUUAUAAAUACGAAAUUUAAAUUCAAAUAUAGUGAUUCUGACUUUCUUAUAAAUAUCUAUAUUAUUAAAACUGAAGUACCUUUUGGUACUGUUUGAAUACAAGGAUAGCAAACUUAAAAAAAAAAAUUAUUGUUGUUUGAACACAAAGUUAGCAGGACAAAACGUUUUCUUUCUUGACUUCAUUAAUGUCCUUUUCGUAAUUUAACAAAAUUAACCAGAUUCUCCGUUGCAAUCUAGAGAGUUUGAAUUCUCGCUUGAAUCUCGGUUGCAAUAUAGAAUAUAUGAUUUCCUUAAUUUUCUAAACUAAACCUUCAGCCCACGUCUUUUUUUCUCCAAGAUAUAGAUAUUUCCAAAUGUCUUAUAUUGCAUCCGUAUCUCCUUAAAAGCCAUCGAGAUCCUCCAUAAUUAGUUACCUAAAUCAUUGCAAACAAAUAUAACAAUAGAUUAAUGUAUUCCGUAAGAGAAAAAGGAAUAUACCCAAAUAUCUAUCAACCAUACAAUCAACCAAUAUCUUAAUGGUUAGAUUUUCCUUGUGAUAUUUAACGUGCUCACCAAUUUUCGUAACCAUAUAUAUAGAUAUCCCUCUACGACUCAAAUUAUUACUUCUCAACCCAUCACCAAAAAAUCGACUUUUUAACAAGAGAUGUCGAGUAACGCGAGUUGUAACCUGCUUAAGGAUGUCAAGCCUUUCAAAACCGGGUGGAGAGUACGUGUGAAGAUGCUUCAUUCCUGGAAACAGAACUUUGGAGGAGAAACACUUGAGUGCAUUCUUGCAGAUGAAACAAUUCAUGCUUCAUGCAAACGAAGUCAAAUGUUCCGGGUUCAGCGAGGCUUACCAAUUGGAGAAUGGCGAUUUGUUGAAAACUUCACCGUAUCCCAGGCUGGUGGGCAGUAUCGACCAACUAACCUGCAGUACAAGAUGACAAUCAGUGGUGAAACAGUCAUAUCAAUAUCUGAUUUACAAAACAACAACCACUUCCUUGAUCUUGCAAGUUAUGAAGAUAUCAUUGAGGGAAAAUUGAAUCCCUAUUUCCUAAUUGAUGUCAUCGGUGAAAUUUUUGAUAUGCGCACUAUACAGACUAUGAAGGUCAAGAACGAAGAUCGUAAGAGGGUUGUAUUCCGACUACGUGACACAAAUAAUAGAUUGAUCAUUGAAUCUUUUGUAGUCAAACAUGACAGUUUUUUCACAAAUAAUUACUAAACGAAAGUGAAGAUACACUACCUGAUAUGCAAGACAAGUUGUUUAUGCU
This is a long non-coding RNA of Brassica napus (rape), 6022 nucleotides long. RefSeq lists it as uncharacterized. The record is from RefSeq and is a predicted model, not a curated record. The transcript has 4 exons. Lineage: Eukaryota; Viridiplantae; Streptophyta; Magnoliopsida; Brassicales; Brassicaceae.